AUAUAUAUAUUCCUUGUAUACAAUUUUGAAGGCGGUGGCAAAAGAUGAUAGUACAACUGUCUAAUUUACAGCUUGGCAAGUGAUUUUUACAUGGCACGAGGCAGACUGGUAGAGACGACAAGUGAUUUUAAAUGGCACAAGUUGUUGAGGCAGAGGCUUGCAACGGAAUGGUGUUGUACCUCUAAGACUAAAUCUAUGACAGUUUAUCCAUCUCUAUACCUAUAUAUUCAAACUUCACUUUUCUAACAAUAUAAUCUACAACACAUAACAGUACAUACCGUGUAAAAUAAUUCUUUUGGAUAAACUAUGGGUACGGACGAUCUAACAGUAGAGUCAGAUCGUGCAAGGGUUGUCGAGACGUUGCAAAUCGAAUGAGGACAAGUCUAAGCUCAUGUUCACCCUCGUCCAAACAGAGGAGUAUUUGUAGCCUUCAGUUGGUUGGAGGGUUCAGCUGAUAAAAACAAAGCAAAAUUCAGCAGCAAAUGAAUUAGCACAAUUAGAUGCAAUGCUCGAUUAUGAAUAUAAUUAUGCCAAAUUAAUAAUGAUCUAUUUACCACAAAAAAACUGGAAAAGAAGUAGAAUCCUAUGUCUAUGUUUCUUCUAAGUUUUUCAUAUUAUCCAAUGUUGGAAAAGAAGCAGAAUUCAAAUUUGUAUGCUCCUUCUAGCUUUCUCCUGUUGUCCAAUAUUGUCCAAAGAAAGUUUCACAUGUCGUCCAAUGUUGUCUCAGGUCCAUGUGCCAUCCAUGUAAAGAUUGUCCACAACAAAUCAUGUAAAAUAAGAGAUUUAUACUAUAGAUUAUACUGAUUGCAGAGUAAAAUUUGACAUAUAGAAUGAAAUGAGAUAGUUGUUGAAGAUAGCUAAGGCCUAAUAUGCAGUUCUUAUUAUGUACACUAGAUCAUGUAAAAUAAGAGAUUUAUUAUUUAUACUAUGGAUUAUACUGAUUGCAGAGUAAAGUUUAAAAUAUAGAAUAAAAUAAGGUAGUUGUUGAAGGCAGUCUAAGGCCUAAUGUGCAGUUCUUAUUAUGUACACUCUAAGGGCAUGUUUGAUUCCAUAAUGCUAAAGUUUAGCACUACAUCUUUAGUAAACUUUAGCUCUUGUAAAUCCAAACAUGAGUGCUAAAAUAUACUAGAAGAUAUUAAAAGUAAAAUGCUAAAGUUUAACAUACAUUAGCACUUUAUCUCUUUAAGUGAUGCUAAAGUUUAGCACAAUGAAACUAAACAUGCCCUAGUACUGUCUAUCAAAAAAUUAAACUACAUUAUUUAUGUUAAUUAUGAUCCUAUCUUGGCUCUCUAAAAACUAUAGGAUUUUUAUUAAUUAUGAUCCUACUUAGGUUCAAGAAAGAUAGUAAUUACUAAUUAGCUACUCAUAAUUAUUUUCUUGAAUCCAAAUACAUGUUGCUAAUAGUUUAACUGAUUGUUAGCAAUAUUUUUCUAGUAGCUAAUAAUAGUACUAUUUUACUAGUCGAGUGAAAUUUGUUAAGGACUAGUUUGGGAACCUCAUUUAUCCAAGUCCUCUUGAAAAAUAGAAAUUCCUUAAGAAAAUGAAGUUCCUAAACUAGUCCUAAUAGGGGUAAUAGUAGUUACAUAGUAGUUAUGACAUAUUAGCUAGUAGUUAACUAUUAGUAGUAGCCAUGAUCUAAGAGCCUGUUUAGGUGCUAAAACAAACAUUAAUAAAGUUCAAUCACAUUCCAAGCUAGUUAAAAGUGACUAAAAUAAUAAAAAUAUGUCAUUUUAGUCACUUUGGCUGAACUUGUUUGGAUCCAAAGAGCCUCCAAGUAUCUUAACUUUAAGUAGAUUUACUAUAAACAAAAAUAUUAUUAUAAUAAUUAUACUUAAUAUCAUAAAUGUUAGUAAAUUUUUUAUAAUUUUACUCUAAAUGAAGUCAUUCUUAAUAGGAGUUUCAUAAGAGUUUUAUUUUUAUUAAUAAUACGUCACGUAAACAAAUAAGAUAACACAAUAUACAAUUUAAUAAAGAAAAAUACGAGAUUUAGUGUUUUUUGAGAUGGUAGCUUUGGAAACAGUGUUUUCCUCUUCCCAUUGAGAACGCCCUUUCGCACGGAACAUGUCAGUACGACUUUGGACAAAAUUCAAAUUAUCACCACUUCUAGAAAACGUGAAUGCCAUCUUUUUUUUUUGUUUUCUACAUAUAUCACUUCUAUAAAGGAGAUUGCUGAUAAUUCGGUAUGAAUUAUAAAUUAUAGAACUCCUAGGCCCUACAACAUUUUUUUACUAGAGAAAUUUUAUUAUCAAAAAAUAAAAAUAAACUGGAUUAUAUGAAAUUCUUGCAUUUUUCUGACAAAAGAUUCAGUGUAAAUUCCCGUGGAUCAUAAAAAUCUAGGAAGAAAUUCUUACUUGUAAAAUAAAGAGUCUAGGCAAAAAUGAGAAGCCACUUCGAUGAAAGAGACGUGAACUAAGCAAAAACAAAAACAAAAACUCUCUGUUCUCUAAACUGCAAAUUCUAAGACGUUGAGUAUAUGUACAAAUUCUUACAUGUUUGGUUUGCUACCGACCAGACCUAGUCAAAUAUCAGAGAUCCCACACGUUCGAUUUUGAUCGCCGCCGGGCUGAGUGCAGGCCUCGUAUCAAAACUAAGGUCCUGUUUAACUAAGAUGCUGUUUGAAAGUCUAGUGAUAUAUUUGGAACCACCUCAAUUUUCAAAAAACAGUUUCUUAUAAACUGAUCCAAACAGGCCCUAACCGGCUAAGCCUAUAUACAAAAAUAAAACAUCCUAAAGCAAUGGUAAGUUCUUUGGUGAGCAAUAAGUUCCGACUACUAAAGAAUCUUGGUGGAUUUGAACCACCAUCCAUCCGGGACAGCACGCCUAGGCUAGCAGUCAAACGGAUGACCUCACCGUGUUGAGGAAAGAUCCACACCUCAACGAGCAGACGCAGCUACAUUUAAAUAACCAUAAAAUACCUUUAAAAAGUACACAUAUAUCAAUUGAAUAUUCGUGUUCACAACCAAACCUUCUGUGAAUAGAC
This 2980-nucleotide long non-coding RNA is filed under the name Zea mays. Its description in RNAcentral is "drought responsive lncRNA". The record is from RNAcentral. Lineage: Eukaryota; Viridiplantae; Streptophyta; Magnoliopsida; Poales; Poaceae.